AGAGUUUGAUCAUGGCUCAGGAUGAACGCUAGCGAUAGGCUUAACACAUGCAAGUCGAGGGGCAGCACGGUGUAGCAAUACACUGGUGGCGACCGGCGUACGGGUGCGUAACACGUAUGCAACCUACCCGCUAUUGGGGGAUAACCCGGCGAAAGUCGGACUAAUACCCCAUAUUAUUCUUACCGGGCAUCCGGUAGGUCUGAAAGAUUUAUCGAUUGCGGAUGGGCAUGCGGAUGAUUAGCUAGUAGGUGGGGUAACGGCUCACCUAGGCGACGAUCAUUAGGGGUUCUGAGAGGAAGGUCCCCCACACUGGAACUGAGACACGGUCCAGACUCCUACGGGAGGCAGCAGUGAGGAAUAUUGGUCAAUGGGCGCUAGCCUGAACCAGCCAAGUCGCGUGAAGGAUGACAGAUCUAUGGUUUGUAAACUUCUUUUGCAGGGGAGUAAAGUGCGACACGUGUGUUGUAUUGCAAGUACCCUGCGAAUAAGCAUCGGCUAACUCCGUGCCAGCCGCAGC
This 517-nucleotide ribosomal RNA is filed under the name uncultured bacterium. Its description in RNAcentral is "bacterial SSU rRNA". It matches the Rfam family "Bacterial small subunit ribosomal RNA", at positions 8 to 518 of the family's 1533-position model. The record is from RNAcentral.